UUAGUAAUCUCAAUUGAUGGUUCAUAGUCAGGUACAGGUUGGACUUUUUGUUCUGUUCUUUCCCCGCUGCUCACUGCUAUGCCUCAGUAAUCUUU
This 95-nucleotide non-coding RNA is filed under the name Homo sapiens (human). Lineage: Eukaryota; Metazoa; Chordata; Mammalia; Primates; Hominidae. The record is from RNAcentral.